UGAGGCCUGGGUAAACCGUGAGGUGGCCGCCAUCUUGCGUACGGAGGUGCGGCUUGUUACCCAGAUUGCGAGCCUGGGCUUUUAGACCCUCCAGAUCUCGGCUUUGGCGUUGUGCUUCCGCUUUUCUUUCACCUUUACAGAGGUUCGUGUCUUCCUAGAAGAAGGUUUUGUUGGGAGGUAAAGGUCAAUGCGUAGGUGUAGAAUAAGAUGUCUUGUGAAAUUGGAGGUAAAUUCUUGGGACCUAGUGAAGAAGUUACAAGUGAACCACGCUGUAAAAAAUUGAAGUCAACUGCAGAGGCAUGUGUUUUUCACAAUCAUAAUGAUGCUGAUUUUCACAGAAUUCAAGAGAAAACUGGAAAUGAUUGGGUCCCUGUGACCAUCAUUGAUGUCAGAGGACAUAGUUAUUUGCAGGAGGAUAAAACCAAAACGACAGAUUUGUAUAGACCUUUGCAUGAUGAGAUGCCUGGUAAUAGACCAGAUGUUAUUGCAUCCAUCGAUUCACAAGUUUUACAGGAAUCGCGUCCUCCAUUAGUAUCUACAGAUGAUGAGAUAUAUAGCACAAGUAAAGCAUUUAUAGGACCCAUUUAUAAACCCCCUGAGAAAAAGAAACGUAAUGAAAGGAGGAAUAAGGCAGACACUCUAAAUGGUAAAAAUGGCAGAGGAGGACAAACAGAGAAACAGAAAUUUAACUCUGGAAAAUCAGAGAUUGACAAUGAAUUCUUCCAGUUUUACAAAGAAAUUGAAGAGCUUGAAAAGGAAAAAAGUGAUUUUGAGAACAGUUGUAAAGAAUCUGAACCUUCUCAGGAACAAUUUAUUCCAAUUUAUCAGGGUCAUAAUAAUGGUCUCUUAAAACCUGAAGAAAAGAAAGAUUUUAGUAAUAAUGCUCUUUCAUCACAUUGUGAUUAUCAACAGAACUUGGGGAAUGAGCCAGGCAAAUAUCCCUGUUAUGGACAAGUGAUACCUACAUUUUGUGACACUUCAUUUACUUUCAGACCUGAAUGGCAAUCAGUGCAUCCUUUUAUAGUGCCCCAUGGUCCUCCUCUUCCCAGUUUGAACUAUCAUUUAAAUUUUCAAAGAUUCAGUGCUCCACCAAAUCCACGAUCAAAUAUUUUCCAAUCCCAAGAUGACUUUCAGAUGCAAAAUGGAUAUUACGUAAAUAAUUGUCAUGUUAACUGGAAUUGUAUGACUUUUGAUCAGAACAAUGAGUAUACUGACUGUAGUGAGAAUAGGAGUAGUGUUCAUCCCUCUGGAAAUGGCUGCAGUAUUCAAGAUGAAUAUGUGAGUAAUGGUUUCUGUGAAGUCAGAGAAAGAUGCUGGAAAGAUCCUUGUAUGGACAAGCAUAAUGGAACAGACAGGUUUGUGAACCAGCAGUUUGAAGAGGCAAAGUUAAAUAAAUUGCAGAAGUUACUUAUUCUUUUAAGAGGUCUGCCUGGUUCUGGGAAAACAACGUUGUCUCGGAUUCUGCUUGGUCAGAAUCGUGAUGGCAUUGUGUUCAGCACUGAUGACUAUUUUCACCAUCAAGAUGGGUACAGGUAUAAUGUUAAUCAACUUGGUGAUGCCCAUGACUGGAACCAGAACAGAGGAGGAAUAAACAUGGUGUGUCUCGAAAGAAGAUUGCUCAGAUGUUGGAUCGUUAUGAAUAUCAAAUGUCCAUUUCUAUUGUAAUGAAUUCAGUGGAACCGUCACACAAAAGCCCACAAAGACCUCCUCCUCCACAGGGGAGACAGAGCUGAUUGAUCUGUGUGACAAAAUUACUUCUGAGCUAUAAUCAGCACAUCACUUGGUUCGAAGAAAAUUCCCUAGCAGAUGUUAGAUGGUAAGCAUAUCAAUCUGGGGAAUUUUCUUCGUGAUAUACAUAUUCAUCUUGUAAUGUAUACAUGUGCAUAUCAUCCUUUUUCUCAAGCCAUCUCUAAUCCCAUAUGCUUGCCAGUUCUUGAAAACAUAAAGUGAUUCUAAUAAUGUUUGCUUCUCUUCGUUCAAGUUAAUGUGAUACAAUUCUAAUAUAAAAAAUAUUUUGAACAGUUGCUUAACAUUGAUCAUAAGAGGAUUUAUACUAUAGAAUGUCUUCUAGUACUAAUUUUUCUGUAGAGCAUACUAUUUCUCUUAUUGGAUAGUUUUCUUUAUAAGACAUGUUUCUUCACUUAAGAUUAAAAACUGAGAUGGAAUUCAUUUCAGAGGUCUUGUCCUUCAUCCCCUACCUUCAAAUUGAACUUUACCUAGACUAACUUAGAUAAUUAAGCAUUUCUCUUUGCAACAUCAGGAAAAAAUAUUACUACCUCUUUCAAUACCAUUGUUCCCAAUGUCUUAUGAAAAGCAUUUUUUCAAAAGUUUUGAUUUACAUUUUUGAUUUACUCUUUUUAGGGAAUAACCCCAGAAAAUUACAAUGCUGUUUUAAAAAAUUAAGCAUUAUGUUUUUUUUUUUUUGAGAUGGAGUUUUGCUCUUGUUACCCAGGCUGGAGUGCAAUGGCGCGUGCGAUCUCGGCUCACCGCAACCUCUGCCUCCUGGGUUCAGGCAAUUCUCCUGCCUCAGCCUCCUGAGUAGCUGGGAUUACAGGCACAUGCCACCAUGCCCAGCUAAUUUUUUGUAUUUUUAGUAGAGACGGGGUUUCACCAUGUUGACCAGGAUGGUCUUGAUCUCUUGACCUCAUAAACCACCUGCCUUGGCCUCCCAAAGUGCUGGGAUUACAGGCGUGAGCCACCGCGCCCGGCGCAUUAUGAUUCUUUCUAUGUGGCCUUUAAACUUUCUCUUAAACCAGCGCAUCUUGAAUCCCAUAGUAUUUCUUUGUUUUAAAACCUUUUGCUAUUCCUUUCAACUUCAAAUAUUACUUUUUACGUUGUGAAGCUAAACACUAGAUUUAGUGCUGUCAACAAGAACUUUAUUACAUGGUCUUUAGUGAAAUAAGAGUAUGAUUUUAUUUGUACUAUUUGGUGCCAUUAACAUUUGAAUGAAUGUUACCUUUAUCUUGUUUAACACUUGUAUGUAUAUAUUUGCUCAUCUUAAUAUGAUACAGUAAGAAUAUGCUAAUUUGUUUUGUGUGUAAAUGUAUAUUAUAUACAUAUACAUCUUCAGCUAUGUUUUCAUAUAUUUUAUUUCAGAGUAAUACUUGGUAUUUGAACUUUGGUUUCUGAGUAUUUUAUUCUGUAGAUGAGCACGGUUUGAAAAUCGUACACAAGGUUUUCAUUUUGGGACAGGUGAAACAACUCUUAAGCAGACUGUGUGUCCCUUUCCCUCUGUCUUCAUAAACUUAAGAGUUAUAAUACUUUGGGCCAGGCACGGUGGCUUAAGCCUGUAAUCCCAGCACUUUGGGAGACCGAGGUGGGUGGAUCACGAGGUCAAGAGAUUGAGACCAUCCUGGUCAACACGGUGAAACCCCGUCUCUACUAAAAAUACAAAAAAUUAGCUGGGCAUGGUGGCAUGUGCCUGUAAUCCCAGCUACUCAGGAGGCUGAGGCAGGAGAAUUGCCUGAACCCAGGAGGCGGAGGUUGCGGUGAGCUGAGAUCGCGCCAUUGCACUCCAGCCUGGGUAACGAGGGAAACUCUGUCUCAAAAAAAAAAAGAGCAGUAAUACUUUAAAUUUAGUUUUUUAGCUGGGUGAGGUGGCUCAUGCCUAGAAUCCCACUUUGGGAGGCCAAGGUGGGCAGAUGACCUGAUGUCAGGAGUUUGAGACCAGCCUAGCUAAUACAGUGAAACCCCAUCUUUACUAAAAAUGCAAAAAUUAGCUGGGCAUUAUGGUAUGUGCUUGUAAUCCCAGCUACUUGAGAGGCUGAGGAAGGAGAAUCGCUUAAACCUGGGAGGCAGCGUUUGCCAGUGAGCAGGGAUUGCCCCACUUGCACUCCAGCCUGUGAGACAGAGCAAGGCUCCAUCCCAAAAAAAAAAGUUUUUUGAAUAAUGUUUAAUCAAGUUUAUUUUCAGAAAGUAGAGGAUUGCCUUUGGGAGAAAUAUUAUAAGGCAAUAUGUUCAUGUUAAGUUUAAAAUAAAUUUCUGGAUUAUAGACUCGUCUUCAUCUCCUAGUUCUAACUGCUGAAUAAUAAUCAUUUAGAGAUCAUUAGUCUUUACCAAUUAAUUUUUUUUACAUUAUAAUGUUAGUGAGACAGCUACUGUUGCAUCAUGAGGUCCAAAUAAGUAAAUCUUAGGAGGGAAACUAACAUUCUUAAAAUUAAACAAGGACUUGCUCUGCUACCUGGGCUGGAGUGUGGUGGUGUGAUCAUAGCUUGCUGUAACCUUAAACUCCUAGGUUCAAGAGGUCUUCUUUCCCAGCAUCUCGGGUAGCUGGGACUUUAAGCGUGCACCGUGACACUUGGCUAAUAUUUGCAUGUUAAAACAUUUUUUGUAGAGAUGGGCUCUUGCCAUGUUGCCCAAACUGAUCUUGUACUCUUGGCCUUAAAUGAUCCUCCUACCUUGGCCUCUCAGAGUGCUGAGAUUACAGGCAUGAGCCACUGCACCAGCUUUAGUUUUUUUUUGUUUUGUUUUGAGACAGAGUCUUGCUCUGUUGCCCAGGCUGGAGUGCAGUGGCAUGAUCUUGGCUCACAGCAACCUCCACCUCCCAGGAUCAAGCAAUUCUGCUUCAGCCUCCCAAAUAGCUGAGAUUAAAAGUGUGUGCCACUGCGCCGGAUAAUUUUUAUAGAGAUGGGGUUUCACCAUGUUGGCCAGGCUGGUCUGACCUCAGGUGAUCUGCCAGUCUUGGCCUCCCAAAGUGCUAGGAUUACAGGUGUGAGCCACCAUACCCGGCCUAGUUGUUAUUUUUAAGGCACAAAAAUAGUUGUUUUCCUAAAUAUUGUGGCUAAUUUUAAUUAAAAACAUUGGAGGAAUGAACAUGCACUGGAAAUACUAAGUCACUAUUUAAAGUCACUGCUUGGUGUCUAAAAAUCUAUAAAAAUGUGAAAUUUAUAAUUCUUCAAAAGUUUCCUAUUCAGACAGUCUUGGUCCGGGCAGGGUUAAGAGAGGAGGUGUCUUUGUGUUGAAUAGACUGGAUUUAACUGGUCUCAAGUGAUCAUCCCGCCUUAGCCUACCUGGUAGCUGGGAUUACCGGCACCCAGCUAGAUACAGUGUUAGUGGGAUAGACCCCUGCUGCUGUACCUCAUUCUAACCAUCUCCAUCACAAAUAAUUAAAUUGGACAUUAAUCAUAUUUAACUAAGAUAGUGCUCAUCUCCUGGGUUCUCCUGCCUCAGCCUCCUGAGUAGCUGGGACUACAGGCUCACACCACCACGCCCAGCUAAUUUUUUUUUUUUUUGUAUGCACAUGUUGACCUUGUGAUCUGCCCACCUCAGCCUCCCAAAGUGCUGGGAUUACAGGCGUGAGCCACCAUGCUUGGCCUUGAGACUGUGUUUUCUAAGUAUAAGGAAAAUUGGUGGUGUAUAAAACCUCGAACUGUAGUUGUGUGUUUUAGUGUCUUGACCAAAUAAGCUUGCCAGUCUUUAUUGAAGUUUUAUGUAGUAUUCUGACAUGAAUAUGGUAACUAAUAAGGGCUAAAGUAUUGUUGCUUUUUUUUCCCUUGAUGUUUGCAAUCCAUAUUGAGUAAUGUCUUAGUCUAUAAUAAUUACAGAGUCUUAGCUUAUGAUUCAGAAUAAAUAAUUCACAACAUUCAAAAUAAAUAAUGUGGCAGGAGUAGGUUAAGUUAAUGAUUUUUUAGAGUUAAGUUUCAGGAGCUACCAUUUACAAAUUAAGUUUUUGCUUAUUAAAAUUGUCAGCUAUAUCUUUGUAAAUUUUCUGAGGAGAGAUUAUAUUAAGGGAUUAAUGAAUAUUCUGUUUGUUGAUAAGAUUGGCAUACAAAUCUUUACUUUUAAAAUUAAGGUAUCAUUAAAACAGUUGGCUUCCCUGCAUGUAUUCUGUAUUUUCUUCUUAUACUGUCCUUAGAAUGGUAAGAAGUAGUAUUAAGUUCCUCGAAAUAGAUCCUAAAAAUAUAGGGAUUAGUGAUUGUCUUGUGUGUCCUUUUGAUUCCUUUUUUACUUUGCAAAGCAGUAUUCAGAUUGAUUCAGUUUAGUAGAUUCAAAUUGCCAAAUGUGUUAAGCCUCAGUUUUCAUUUUUGCAUGGUUUGUAAGUUUCAGAGCAAACCUUGAAAAGGCAAUAAUUAUGAUUAUUUGCAACUGAGUUCAGAAAACAUGCAGAAGAAUGGUUAUGAUUUACUCAGUAAUUUAGAGUCCAUUGACUGGUGUAAUGUUUGUAAUAGAAUAUACGUGUAUGUAAGCGGUAAUUUGGAAUAUUUCCUACAGAAAAAAAAAAUUUUUUUUGAGAGGGAGUCUCGCUUUGUCACUCAUAUUGGAGUGCAGUGGCAUGAUCUUGGCUCGCUGCAACCUCCACCUCCUGGGUUCAAGCUGCUAUUCUGCCCCUGCCUCCUGAGUAGCUGGGAUUACAGGCAUGUGCCACCACACCCAGCUAAUUUUUUUGUAUUUUUAGUAGAGAUGGGGUUUCACUACAUUGGCCAUGCUGGUCUCAAACUCCUGACCUCAGGAGAUCUGCCCACCUUGGCCUCCCAAAGUGCUAGGAUUACAGAUGUGAGCCACUGUGCCCAGCCCAAAAUUCUUAAUACAUUAUAACUCUCUAUGCACAAGAAGAAGAAGAAGGAGUAGCACAAAUAACUUUGGAAAGAGGCUCAACAGUAAAUAGAUAUUAAUUCUAGAAGCUAAGCUGUAUAUGUUGAAAAGUUUUGUCUUUUUAUUCAUUCAAUAGAAAUUUAUUUUAGUCAUUCGUAAUCUUUUUCUUCCUUCUCCUGACAAAUUUUGCUCUCUGAGAGAUAACCCUGUCACAUUCCAGUUAUGAUAAUUGUAAUGAUUACACUUAUACUUCACUUCUCAGAAUGGAAUCUGUUAACUUCAAUAAGUUCUCUUAAAUUUCAGUGUGAAAAAAAUACAUAAUUUUUCUGUAGCAUGGACACAGGUGCAGUCUGAUCCCUAAUCUCAAAACUAGACACAGUUGCAUUAACAAGCAUUAUACCUACUUUGGUGAGUAACUGAGGACUUCACAUCGAAGUGUUGUUUUGGUUUUUAGUAUUUCCAUUUACUUUUUAAAAAAAAUUAAACUACUUUUUGUAAAUUGAUGGGAAGAUUGAAAUAUUUUGAGAGGAACUAUUAGGUUUGCCUCUCAGUUUUGCUAGUAACUAAGGGGAAAAGAAUCAUGGUUAUUCAUGGUUAAAAUUGUUUUAGUAGAGUCCAUUGAAAUGUACUUUAUUAUUUGCAUUAUUUUCUUAUUUUGCAGUUUUAACUGUUUUCAGAUGGUACAUGUAAAAUUAAAGUUUUAUUCUUGGUGUUGAUUUACAAUUAGUAAUUAUAAUAAUUAUACAACUUUCAAAAUGUCUCUUCAGUUGUAAUUCUGAGCUCUUUAUUUUUUUACCGUAACAAAAUGAAAGAAAAUUUACUUGGGGAGGGAUUGUGGGUUCUUUGUUUUCCAUUCUUUUUUCUUUUUUCUUUCUUUUUUUUCUUUUCAGUUUUUCUUAAUCUUAGAAAUCUUGUUUGUUUUCAUGAUCUGUUCUUGUAUACAUGUUUUUUUUUUCACUCUAUUCAUUUUUUGCCCAGCUGUCCUCCUGUAACCUCAUAACAUUUUUAAUGAAGAUGAUGGAAUGGUAAGUGGCUGGCAAAGCUGGACAUAAUCUCUUUUUCCCUCUUUGAUUCUACUGAACUCAUUGUUCCUUCUGAGCCUUACUUAACCAAGUUGAGCUUAUAGACCACAGCUCUGUAGUUAGUUUCCUGACCCUGUGGGUUAUGUAGAAUUUAGAUAUGAAAACAGCUGGAAAGGUUAUAAAAAUCUAUUGUGUUAAUUAUUGGUGGGGAUUUCAUAACAUGGCAUAGAAAGAACUUAAAUGUACAGAUUUGAGAAAAAAUAUUUACAUUAAUUUAAUUAUAUGAUGAUGGAUGUUAAUUGAUAAACAAUAGGUUGAAAUUCACUGUUACAGAAUUUGCUAUUACGUCGUGAUUGCUGGUUGCCCUUAACUGAAUGAUUUUGAAGGAAAGCUAAUAACUAUUUUGAGUUAAAUGUUUACAAGUGGUUCCUUAUAUGGUGCAGUGCUGCUGCAACAAAGAGGAAUUUUGUCGCAAAAAGUCUUAAUAAAAGCCAUUUAAAUAACUGCUGUUUAUUUAAUGCCCAUCAGUGCUAGGCCCCCAUCUAAAUGUGAUUGUUACAGUCACUGAAUUUUCACAAUUCUACAAUGGUUUUAAAAGAGGAAACAAAUUUAGGUUAAAAAACUUACCUAACAUGAUUUCUCUAGUAAGAGAGAAAACUGAUUCAGAUCUAUGUUAUGUUAGACAUAUUUAUCUACUGUAACUCAGUAUUAUUUUUAAGCCACGUAGUUACUUUUUUUUUAAAUUUAGUGUUUUUCCAAGGUUGAAAAGAAAUACCAGUGAAGAGUUGAUUCCAUCUUUAUGGUACCUUUAUGUUAUAAGGUUAUAAGGUAUAUUGAUUUAUUAGGGAAGUUGAGUGAAGAAAUCUUAAAGCGGCCAUUUAGAAUUCUGUUUAAAAGUCAAAAGAGUUGGGCUGGACGCAGUGGCUCAUGCCUGUAAUCCCAGUGCUUUGGGAAGUCAGGCGGGUGGAUCACCUGAGGCGAGGAGUUGGAGAACAGUCUGACCAACAUGCUGAAAUCCUGUCCCUACUGAAAAUACAAAAAAGCCAGGCGUGGUGGCGCAUGCCUGUAAUCCCAGCCACUCAGGAGGCUGAUGUAGGAGAAUAGCUUGAACCCAGGUGGUGGAGGUUGCAGUCAGGCAAGAUCAUGCCACUGCACUCUAGCCUGAGCAACAGUGAGACUCCAUCUCAAGAAAAAAAAAAGAUUGAGAGUUUAUGCUAUUUAAUGUUUAAAUGUUUUCUGUAAAUUAAACAUCAAUAUACUUGAUAAUCAUAUUUCAGGAGCAUUUUUUCCAUUGAAUUACUUACAUAUACUGUUGUGCUUUAAGGCUUUAAGUUAAUUUUCUUAAUUUAAUUAGCAUUUGAAAUGUAUAGUGUCCAAUAAAUGGAUUGUUAGAUUAUGUAAGUUGGGUUUUUUUUGUUGCUGUUGUUUUGAGACGGAGCUUUGCUGUUGUUACCCAGACUGGAGUGCAAUGGCACGAUCUCGGCUCAACGCAACCUCCGCCUCCUGGGUUCAAGCAAUUCUCCUGCCUCAGCCUCCCGAGUAGCUGGGACUACAGGCGCCCACCACCAUGCCCAGCUAAUUUUUGUAUUUUAGUAGAGACGGGGUUUCACCUUGUAGACCAGGAUGGUCUCGAGCUCUUGACCUCGUGAUCCACCCGCCUCGGCCUCCCAAAGUGCUGGGAUUAUAGGUGUGAGCCACCGCGGCCGGCUGAUUUGGGUUUUUUUUACCCUGAUUAAUUUUCAGGCAUUAUUUCAAAAUAGGUCAGUACUACUUCUAAGUGGUUUUACUUAUGUUUCUUUUAUGUCCACUUGCUAUUUAAGUUUGUUAGUAGUAGAUAUUAUGGAAAUUACAUGCAUUUUCUGAAUAUUUAAAGAAUUGUUUUUUCUCUAUAAUAAUUAGGAACUUUUUAUUAUUUUAUGAUAUUUUGCAUUAAUUUUCCAAAAGAACACUAAAAGACAGUUACUUCAGUUUGCUUCAUAAAUUACUUAAAUUAUACAAGGAAAAUCUUGAAGUACAGAAUUCUUACUGUUAGGUAUUUUUCUUAUUUUGUUCUAAUGAACUUAAAAUUGAAGAACUGGGUCUUGUUUGGUUUCUCUUCAUUCCUUAAGAGGUGGAGUUUUUGUUUAGAAUAGAAAAGACUUCAUAAAAGAAGAAAUAUCAUUGGUUUUAUGAAUGAAUUGAUAGUUUUAAAUUUAGGAGACAAGAAGUACAUAACAGUAUUGGGACUAUAGAAAUAUAAUUCAAUUUAAUCCUGGGCAGAGAUGCAGUUAAGAUAUUUAUCUAGAAUAUAAGUAAAUUGAAGUAUUUAUAGGAAAUGUGAUAGGAGCCAUUGACUAGACAUUUUGAAAAUUAAAACCAGGGGUCUUGUUACCUUUGGAUUACUACUGUGUCCUAGGGGCUUUAUCCUUUACUAGGAAUCCUUUAUCCUUUACUCUUCAUUGGAUAUUAGGCUCAGUCUUCUCCCUAAAACAAUCAACAAACUUUUUGAUUCCAAGGAAGCAGUAAUCAAAGAACAGCAGUGUUAUAGGGCAGUUUGUAAUAAAAGUUGAAUAUUCCUUCCCUAUCUGAAAUACUUGAGAUUAGAAGUGUUUUAGAGUUCAGAUUUUCUUUUGGACUUUGGAAUAUUUCCAGAAUACAUACUGAUUGAGCAUAUCUAACCUGAAAAUCCGAAGUGCUACAGUGAACAUUUUCUUUAAGCGUCAUGUCAGUGCUCAAAAAGUUUAGGAUUUUGGAGCUUCUUGGAUUAUGGGUGCUCAACCUGUAUAGGAAACAUGGAUGUGGAACAUGAAUUAGUUAUAUGUGAUACUUGCUGGGGAGAGGAUUUCCAAACCACCGAAGAACAAUGUAUCUAAUGCUGUAUCAGAGCCUUUUCUUCCAGAUACUAACCUCACCAGUAGUCUAUUUAGAUAUGUGGUGUAUGAUCAAGAAAUUAAAUCCUAGAAUACAGAUGAGUAGAGCAAAGUUGAGGCUUUUGAUUAUCCGUUUCUUUUAAGGUUCUUUUGAAACCUUAUGUUGCAGUUUUUUUCUUUAACAUUUUACAGAAGGAUUUACAGACUAUCUGAGAAGAAUACUCCGGAUAUUUGUCCCAGUCUUAAAGUGGUUCAACAAAAAGUUCAUAAUCACUUUUUAGAACCCUUUUUCCAAAGACCUGUGACCCUAUGUGUAACUUAGAAAACACACAAAUGCUUGCAUCGUUUUUCAGUUGGAACAUAUUUAUCUUUAUUCAGCAAUCAAGAAUAGUUGAUACUGAUGCAUAUCUUUACAUGAUUUUCCAUUAUUUAUCUGAAAAUAAUAUAUAUCGGGUCAUUAUUUUGCCUCUUCAACCUCAAUAAUUCAGUAACUUUCUUCGUUAUUUUGUUGACCUGUUCUGUUCUGGACACUUUUCAAAAUAAUCGUAGCAUGAUUUUAAUGGAAAGAACACAUUGUAAGAGUUAAGCAUUCUGAGUUACACCUCCAUUUACGUCUGUCCUCUCUUUCAUUUGUUUAUUGAACGCCUUCAACUGUACUCUGAAUUGCAUCACUUUCCUUCUCAGGAAAUUUUAUGCAUUGUCAGUUAUUGCUUCUCUCUAACUUGAGCCUUGCCUUCGUUCCUGAGUCUGAACUAUCAACAGUUAAACAUGAUCAAGUCUUCCGAUAUGAAAGUCCCUCUUUAUUGACACAACUCAUUUAUAGCCAAACUUCUUUCUGAAAAGCAGUCGACGUUCAUUGUCUUUUUCUCCCUCACCUCUCACUGAUAAUAUUGAACCCACUCCAUUUUAGGCUCUGUUUCUGUCAUUCUUCUAAAUUGAUUUUUAAGGUCUCUAGAGUAGUCCUCUGUAUUGAUGGACAUUAUUUACUGUUCAUCUUAUGACUACUCAGGCAUUUUUUUGAUAAUUUUUUCCUUAAAAUACUUGGCUUCCUUGGCAUCAUGAUUUUUGUUCAGAUCUCUGUGACUAUUUCUGUCUCCUUUGCUGCCUCCUUCUCUUGGUCUUCGAAUUUUAGAAUUAAGUUUCAGCUCUAGACACACUCUUAGCAUUCUCUAUGUGGUCUUAUUUUUCAUGUGGGCAUAGUAGUCUCCCCACUUUUAUUUUUGCCACCUUACAAUCUUAUCCACAGAGCAGCUAAAGUAGACUAUAAUUUAAAUUCUUUUGAAUAUGCAUAAAUAAUAUCACUCACUGCUUAAACCCUAUAUAAUUUAGUCCUUGGCUGCUUCUCUGAUCCUGUCUUACAUCAUCAGUCUUCAUUUACUGUACAGUCCAUCUAUACUGACCUCUUUGAACUGUUCUUCACACAUGAGGAGCUUGUCCUUGCUAAAAGCUCUAGCUGUUACUUCUCUUUGGAAUGCUCUUCUCAUCUACUUUUCCUAUGCCUAGGAUUUUCUUAAUGUUCAAGUCUGACCUGAGGUGUCACUUUCACCAUAGUACUUGUAGUUGAAGUUACUACUGAUUUGUCGGCAGUAUUCCUGAAAUAGAAUAUAGGAUCAAUGAGGACAUAUUUAUUUUGUUCACAGCUGUGUCCACAAAAUCUAAAGUAGUGCCUGUAGUACUGUAGAAGCUCACUAAAUAGUUGGCUGAUUGAUUUUUUUUUUUUUUUGAGACGGAGUUUCACUGUUGUUACCCAGACUGGAGUGCAAUGGCACGAUCUCAGUUCACUGCAUCCUCCACCUCCUGGGUUCAAGCAAUUCUCCUGCCUCAGCCUCCCGAGCAGCUGAGACUACAGGCGCGCACCACCAUGCCCAGCUAAUUUUUGUAUUUUCAGUAGAGACGGGGUUUCACCUUGUUGACCAGGAUGGUCUUGAUCUCUUGAACUUGUGAUCCACCCGCCUCGGCCUCCCAAAGUCCUGGGAUUAUAGGCGUGAGCCACCAUGCCCGGCCGGCUGAUUGAUUUUUAUACCUGCUGGUCCUAUUAACAGUAUUGACCCCCAAAUGUGUUUUCUUCUUAAUCUUCUCUGAACUCCAGUCUGUAUACUUAACUGUCUACUUGACAUUUACACUUUUAAGCUUAAAAGGUACCUCCAGUUGAACCUGUGAUCUCUCUAACUCUGGGACUCCAGGAUUCCUGCUACAGUGAAUGGAUUUACCUUUCAUCUAUUUCUGCAAGCUAGAAAGUCAAGAGUCUUCUUCAAUGCCUUGUUUCCCCCUCAUAUUCAAUCCAUCAAAUGGAUUCUAUGGACUUUGCCACCUGAGUAUCUCUCGGACCUGUUUCUACAUUUUUAACUAAUAUCAUUUGAUGGAUUUUCACACAGUGAGCAUACCUGUGUAAUCAAUACCCAGGUCAGGAAAUACAAUGUUACUAGCAUGUUAGAAGCUCCUUGUGCCCUCUGUCAGAGUAAUCUUUUUAAAGGGUAGAUGUGAUUAUGCUUAACACCUUUCAGUUGCUUCCCAUUGCUCUUAGAAUGAAAACCAAAAAUCAUAAUGUGAUACUUAAGAGCCUGGAUGAUGUUACUGUCUUUCCUAUACAACUUCAUGUUUUUUGAAUUACUCUUCUCACUUCCCGUAUUCCAGCGGCCACCUCUCAAUUCCUUGAAUGUGCUAUGCUGUUCCCUCUUGCUAAAAAAUUCUGUGUGCAUAUACCCCUUCCAUUCUUGUCCUUCAGAUUUGAGCUCUUUGAAGUUUUCUUAGACAUAGCAAGCUUGAUGAGGUCCCAGAUACGUCUUAUAUGCUCUCGUGUACUUUAUUCAUUUGUAUAUGAUUGUUUCCCCUCAUUGUUUUUAAGCUUCAUGAGUCAGGCAUUAUACUGUUUUGUUCACUGUUGCGUGGUCAUCCGCUAGCAUGGUGGCUGGGAAAGAUUGGUAUUCAGUACUCAUACAAUAAGUGAAUAUGAGUAGUUCAGGUUUGUUAUAGAAUGAAUUAUCUAUCCCCAUCCCCUUCUACCACACACACCCAACUCAUAUUGAAGAUUAACGUUCUAGUUGUAGAAACUGGAAUGUAACUGUAUUUGGAGAUAGGGCCUUUAAAAAGGUAAUGAAGAUGAAUAUGGGUGGACCUUAAUCCCAUAUGAGUGGUGUCCAUGUAACAGGAGAUUAGGACACAGGUAUGAUCACGUGAAGACACUGGAGGAAGAUGGCCAUCUACAAGCCAAAGAGAUCUAGAGGCUUUAGAAGAAACCAGUGCUGCUGACAUCUUCAUCUUGGACUUCUAGAAGUGUGAGAAAAUAAAUUUCUGUUCUUUACUCAAUCUGUGAUACUUCAGUACGGAAGCCCUAGCAAUCUAAUACCAAUUUUGGUACUGGAAAUGGAGUGCCGGUGUAAUUAAUACCUAAAAAUAUGGAAGUGGCUUUAGAAAUAGAUAAUGAAUAGAGCCUAGCAGAAGUGUUUGUUAGAAAAAGCCUGGACUGCCUUGAAGAGAUCGUUGGUAGAAAUAAUGGCUGUUGAAGGUGAUUCUGGUGAAGCUUAGAAAAGAGGAGAGGUAGAGAAAGCUUCUGUCAUCUUAGAGGUACGAAUCUCACCUUGAGUAAAUACUGGUAGAAAUAUGAAUGUUAAAGGUGCUUCUGGUAGGAACUCAAAUGAAGAAUAUAUUGUUGGAAACUGAGGGAAAGGCGAUCAUUAUUAUAAUGUGGCAAAUAACUUAGCCAGAUGAUGUUUUUUUGGAAAGUAGAUGAACCUCUAAGUGAUGAACUUGAAUGUUUAGCUGAGAUUUCUAAGCAAUGCAUUAAAGAUAAUGGCCUGGUUUCUCCUUGCUGCUUAAAGUAAAAUGCAAGAAGGGAGAGAGAAAUUUAAGAAAGAAUUAUUAAGCCAAAAGGAAUCAGAACCUGAAGAUUUGGAAAAUUCUGUAUCCAUAUUGCAAAAAUUUAACAUGUUCUGGAGAGAACAUCAAAGUUGUUGGAAAACAACCAUUUCCUAAAGCCAUUAGGGGUAUGCGACUUCUGGAUCCAGUCAGCCAUCUUGGCAGAAACCAUUUCAGCAGAAAGUAGCAGAAACCAGGAUAGAGAUGGGUUAUACCAGUGGAAUUGCUGCUGGUUGGUACUACUGAGGGGAACAGAGGGAUAAAAAUGAAGGAGGCCUGUUGGAUUUCUGGGAUUCUAUAAAAUGGGUCAGUAGAGCUAACUGGCUGUGAACAUGUGUUCUCCUUCAAGAAAAGGGAAGAGUGACACUGAAGAUGAUUGUUAAGUCAAAGGGGCCACUUUGCUACCACAAGACCAGAGGGCUCAGGCCUGAGGAGUCAGGGUGGGCUGCCUCCCAGGGCUUUGGGAGGUGAGCUCAGAAGACAGGGCUGCCACCUUGUCAGCUGUGAAGGUGGAGAAUGAAGCUCAGGAGGAUUAUUCUUGAGCCUUAAAAUUGAAUGGGGUUUGCCUUGAUACAUUUCAGACCUGCUUGGAACCCAUCAUUCUUAGAUUUUUUUUUUUUUUGAGUUGGAAUGUUUGUCCUGUUCCUGUCCCAUCAGUGGUGUAUUUUGAAAGCAAAUAACUUGUCUAGUUUCACAGGUUCAUGAUGGAGAAGAAUUUUGCCUCGGGAUGAAACCUUGAGUCACCUGUACGAUUUAAAUGAUAUUUAGGUGAGAUUUGGGGCUUAGAGUUGAUACUGAAAUGGGUCAAGACUUUUGGGGCUAUUGGGAUGGAGUGAAUGUGUUUUGCAUAUAAGAAGGGCAUGAAUUUUGAGGGGCCAGAUGGCAGAAUGUUAGAAUUGAAUUGUAUGCUCUUCCAAUUUAUAACAGAGUCCUAACUCCUAGCACGUAGAAUGUGACCAUAUUUGGAGAUGGGGUCUUUAAGGAGGUAAUUAAGAUAAAAAGAGAUUAUACAAAUGGGCCUUAAUCCAGUAUGAAUGGUGUCUUUAUAAGAAGAGGUUAGGACACAAACACAAAGGGAAGAUCAUGUGAAGACACCGGAGAAAGAAGGCCAUCUACAAACUGAGGAGGGAGGCCUGAGAAGAGAAGAACCCUGUGGACAACUUAAUCUUGGACAUCUAGUUUUCAGAAGUGUGGGAAAAUAAAUUUCUGUUUAAGCCA
This is an RNA transcript of Callithrix jacchus (white-tufted-ear marmoset), 15475 nucleotides long. It is a transcript of the gene named NEDD4 binding protein 2 like 2, with no coding region annotated. Lineage: Eukaryota; Metazoa; Chordata; Mammalia; Primates; Cebidae. The record is from RefSeq and is a predicted model, not a curated record.